Molecule: ribosomal RNA, 572 nt
Filed under: Hydrogenophaga sp.
Lineage: Bacteria; Pseudomonadati; Pseudomonadota; Betaproteobacteria; Burkholderiales; Comamonadaceae
Also listed under: 1 other name
Description: bacterial SSU rRNA
Rfam family: Bacterial small subunit ribosomal RNA
Source: RNAcentral
UACGGGAGGCAGCAGUGGGGAAUUUUGGACAAUGGGCGCAAGCCUGAUCCAGCAAUGCCGCGUGCAGGAAGAAGGCCUUCGGGUUGUAAACUGCUUUUGUACGGAACGAAACGGCUCUGGCUAAUACCUGGGGCUAAUGACGGUACCGUAAGAAUAAGCACCGGCUAACUACGUGCCAGCAGCCGCGGUAAUACGUAGGGUGCAAGCGUUAAUCGGAAUUACUGGGCGUAAAGCGUGCGCAGGCGGUUGUGUAAGACAGGCGUGAAAUCCCCGGGCUUAACCUGGGAAUGGCGCUUGUGACUGCACAGCUGGAGUGCGGCAGAGGGGGAUGGAAUUCCGCGUGUAGCAGUGAAAUGCGUAGAUAUGCGGAGGAACACCGAUGGCGAAGGCAAUCCCCUGGGCCUGCACUGACGCUCAUGCACGAAAGCGUGGGGAGCAAACAGGAUUAGAUACCCUGGUAGUCCACGCCCUAAACGAUGUCAACUGGUUGUUGGGUCUCUUCUGACUCAGUAACGAAGCUAACGCGUGAAGUUGACCGCCUGGGGAGUACGGCCGCAAGGUUGAAACUCAAA